GAUGAAGAACGUAGCGAAAUGCGAUAAGUAGUGUGAAUUGCAGAAUUCAGUGAAUCAUCGAAUCUUUGAACGCACAUUGCGCCCCUUGGUAUUCCAUGGGGCAUGCCUGUUCGAGCGUCAUUUGUACCUUCAAGCUCUGCUUGGUGUUGGGUGUUUGUCUCGCCUCUGCGUAUAGACUCGCCUCAAAACAAUUGGCAGGCGGCGUAUUGAUUUCGGAGCGCAGUACAUCUCGCGCUUUGCACUCAUAACGACGACGUCCAAAAGUACAUUUUUACACUCUUGACCUCGGAUCAGGUAGGGAUACCCGCUGAACUUAAGCAUAUCAAUAAGCGGAGGA
This 337-nucleotide unclassified non-coding RNA is filed under the name soil metagenome. Its description in RNAcentral is "partial contains 5.8S ribosomal RNA, internal transcribed spacer 2, and large subunit ribosomal RNA". The stretch from base 1 to 120 matches the Rfam family "5.8S ribosomal RNA", at positions 35 to 154 of the family's 154-position model. The record is from RNAcentral.